GAGUGCCACACCAUGUGUUGGCUGUCCGCAUGUAUAAAUCACAUGUGUUAGCAAGGGCCGGGCAAAACCGGUGCCAGCCGCCGCGGUAACACCGGCGGCCCGAGUGGUGGCCAUUAUUAUUGGGUCUAAAGGGUCCGUACCCGGUUUGAUCAUUCUUCCGGGAAAUCUGACAGCUCAACUGUUAGGCUUCGGGGGGAUACGGUCAAACUUGGAACCGGGAGAGGUAAAAGGUACUACAGGGGUAGGAGUGAAAUCUUGUAAUCCUUGUGGGACCACCAUUGGCGAAGGCGUCUUACCAAAACGGGUUCAACGGUGAGGGACAAAAGCUGGGGGCACGAACCGGAUUAAAUACCCGGGUAGUCCCACCCGUAAACAAUGCUCGCUAGGUGUCUGGAACGGUGCAACCGUUUCAGGUGCCGCAGGGAACCCGUGAACCGAGCCACCUGGAAAGUACGGCCGCAAGGCUGAAACUUAAAGGAAUUGGCGGGGGACCAC
RNAcentral lists this ribosomal RNA (495 nucleotides) under uncultured bacterium. RNAcentral describes it as "bacterial SSU rRNA". It matches the Rfam family "Archaeal small subunit ribosomal RNA", at positions 383 to 879 of the family's 1478-position model. The record is from RNAcentral.